This is a long non-coding RNA of Symphalangus syndactylus (siamang), 391 nucleotides long. RefSeq lists it as uncharacterized. The record is from RefSeq and is a predicted model, not a curated record. NCBI's taxonomy places the organism in Eukaryota, Metazoa, Chordata, Mammalia, Primates, Hylobatidae.
CUUCCGCUUCGCCGAGAUCCUCUCAGGUGCUCUUGAGGACGCGAGCGACUUCCCUAGGAGCGAACUUCCGCGGGCAGGGCCGCCAGAAGAGAUGCGGAAUUGCCUCCUGGACUGAAUUCUGGGGAUGAGGCCUGACAACAUCCCAGGUUGUAAUAAGUGGCUGCUCCAGGGAUGACAGCGGUUCAAAGAGACAGGGUGGUAUGAAAACAGUCUGUGAACUGCCAGUCUCAUGGACCCGAUUCUAGUGUCAGCUCUACCUGUCAGGGGUCACUUUUGCUCAGUGACUCUCAGUCCCCUCAUCUGUAACAUGCCUUGCUUAUCUUUCCCUUGGAUUUGUUGUGAGGCUCAAAAAUGAGCAAAUGUUAAAUAAAAAUGUGUUUUGCUAUAUAAA